AGCCCGGCCCACUACGCUAUCAUCGGCCCAACUCCCAUUUUGUCUUCUUUCUCGACGCCUCCUCUCUUCUUGCCCUUCUCCUCCGCCGGAUCUCGACGUUAUCUCUCCCUCAUCGCACCAACUAGCGCCGCCGCAAGAAGCGGAGUCCGUUGGCGAGUGGAAAACCCUCCUUGUCUACCUCCACAGCACAGCACUUUGUCUUCAUAUUCAAAACCCUCAGCGUCAUCGAACACCCCGAUGAUGAUGAAGACCUUGGUAUCAUGAUGGCGAAGAACUUGAUUUUAUGCCACUGCUUGGCAGGUUGUCAUUUCCAUCUCCAGACCUUUUAAAGAGUUCCUCUCGCUGUUAUCUAGCCCGACGAUCGCGCUCUAGGUCUAAAAGGAAAAGCAUAUGAAAAUGUCAUAGUUCUUUGGCUGAAGUUCAAACAAUAAUUCAGUCAAGAAAAACUCAGCUCUGUUAGCAAAGACCAAAAACACUGAUGAAAUCCACCAUCAGUCUCAUACUCAUGUUUAAAAGGGUAUCGCCGACAUGUUUGAAAGAAUGUUUAGGCAAUGAAAAAAUGUAUUUCCACUUA
Molecule: long non-coding RNA, 574 nt
Organism: Dioscorea cayenensis subsp. rotundata (Guinea yam)
Lineage: Eukaryota; Viridiplantae; Streptophyta; Magnoliopsida; Dioscoreales; Dioscoreaceae
Exons: 2
Source: RefSeq, a predicted model, not a curated record